CCUACGGGAGGCAGCAGUGAGGAAUAUUGGUCAAUGGACGAGAGUCUGAACCAGCCAAGUGGCGUGAAGGAUGACUGCCCUAUGGGUUGUAAACUUCUUUUAUAUGGGAAUAAAAUGUUCCACGUGUGGGAUUUUGUAUGUACCAUAUGAAUAAGGAUCGGCUAACUCCGUGCCAGCAGCCGCGGUAAUACGGAGGAUCCGAGCGUUAUCCGGAUUUAUUGGGUUUAAAGGGAGCGUAGGUGGAUUGUUAAGUCAGUUGUGAAAGUUUGCGGCUCAACCGUAAAAUUGCAGUUGAAACUGGCAGUCUUGAGUACAGUAGAGGUGGGCGGAACUCGUGGUGUAGCGGUGAAAUGCUUAGAUAUCACGAAGAACUCCGAUUGCGAAGGCAGUUCACUGGACUGCAACUGACACUGAGGCUCGAAAGUGUGGGUAUCAAACAGGAUUAGAUACCCGUGUAGUC
This 460-nucleotide ribosomal RNA is filed under the name uncultured bacterium. Its description in RNAcentral is "partial 16S ribosomal RNA". It matches the Rfam family "Bacterial small subunit ribosomal RNA", at positions 338 to 795 of the family's 1533-position model. The record is from RNAcentral.